CUCGUUCUGGUGUUAUUUUUGGAGAUGACUUCGGUUUCCGUAGUUGGCUUUCUCUGGGAUCAGAGUCAUGGUCUGCAGCAGCGCCUGCCAAGCCAAACUUUUCCCUGGGUGAGAAGCACGAGCUAACCCACGUGCAGACCUGAGCCCGGGGUCGCGCUGCAACUGCAUCUGUGAAACCUCUUUCUCAAAUAUUACUCUUUGCCUCCGUGGAAAAACAGCAUCGUUAGCAAAGAUGACAAGUAGGCAAAGGUUUCCCCGCACGCCACCAGAGGGGCAGUGCUUAGAACUGGAAAUGGCUGUGUAACCUACUUUCCUUUGGUUUUAAAAUAACAGCGCAUAGAUUUGCAUUUGUUUUUCAUUCUUGGCCCUGCGACCCCUGCUCCCGUUUCCCUUGAUAAAUUCCAUCUCGCCUUCCACACGCGGCCCUUCAGGGCUGAACACUUCCUAACGUCUUUCGUCAACCUGCUUUUAGCUCUGAGUUGAAAUACAACAAAAAAAUAAAUCUUACUGACCACCUGUGUGUAUGGUUGCACAGAUCCUAUGAGAACCAAUACAGAGGAGAUCCCCGAGAAGAACAUCUGUCGAGAUGUGGACGAUGCAGCAAAAGUGUGGACAAUGGAAGCUGACAAUCCGUCUUCAGAAAUCUUUUUCACCGCUGACCCCUCAAACUCUCCCUGUCCGGGCAGACGGAUGCAGAGCUUGGAAUUGGAAUUGUGGCCUCUGGAGCUUAAGUGGCCAAGAUCGGCGACAUCCUCUAUAGCUCCGUGGCACAAAAGAGCCAUUUAGAGGGCAGGGGGAGUGAAGGGUUGUUGGGGGGCCGUGAAGUGGGACAGGGUGGGGAAUGUGGCUAAGGGAAGGCAGCAGGUGCGACAUGUGGUGGGUUCUUGACAUUUCCCCUGACCUGCAAAUGCUACUGCUCACUAUUACACACACACACACACCCCUACACACACCCCUACAUAGCCAGCCUGGACACCCGUGGGUCUGGAAUAUACUAAAAAUGUUAUGAAGUGGACAUAUGCCCUUGACGCCCAAAUAAAUGCCCUAGCAAGGCCAGUUAAGCUCUAGGAGCUGCAAAAUCCUAGCGGAAAUGAGGGGAACAGAAACGCCAAGUCCAAAGAGUGCACUGUCCAGUUGGUUUCAGACCUACUAAGACCAGCACCGGCCAUAUGGGAUCUUGUUUUGCAAAAAAAUCUGGACACCAAUCAAGGGUUUUGUUUCUUUGGGUUUAAAAACUUUUCAUCACUUUUUCCUUCUAGCAUGAAAAUACAAUACUAACUACUUUACCAGGAAUAGCAAAAGUGCUCGAAAAAUAAUUCCACCCCCUGCCAGGGCCUGCAAUUGAAAUCAGUGUCGGCUCCAAUUUGUUCCCAACUCUCGAAACACUUUUUUCCUCAUUGUGCAUUUUCUUCUAUGUGAAUACUGGAUAUGACAUCGUCACAC
This 1443-nucleotide long non-coding RNA is filed under the name Fukomys damarensis (Damara mole-rat). RNAcentral describes it as "lncRNA (ENSFDAG00000032666.1)". Lineage: Eukaryota; Metazoa; Chordata; Mammalia; Rodentia; Bathyergidae. The record is from RNAcentral.